RNAcentral lists this ribosomal RNA (972 nucleotides) under Dragmacidon reticulatum. RNAcentral describes it as "SSU rRNA". It matches the Rfam family "Eukaryotic small subunit ribosomal RNA", at positions 31 to 1001 of the family's 1831-position model. Lineage: Eukaryota; Metazoa; Porifera; Demospongiae; Axinellida; Axinellidae. The record is from RNAcentral.
CUUGUCUCAAGACUAAGCCAUGCAUGUCUAAGUAUGAAUGCUUCCAUACUGUGAAACUGCGAAUGGCUCAUUAAAUCAGUUAUAGUUUAUUUGAUGGUUCCUUGCUACUUGGAUAACCGUAGUAAUUCUAGAGCUAAUACAUGCAGAAAGUCCCGACUCUUGGAAGGGAUGUAUUUAUUAGAUCCAAAACCAGCGCGAGUCUCCUCGUGGGUCUCGGUUGCUCGGUGAUUCAUGAUAACUGCUCGAAUCGCAGGGCCUUCGUGCCGGCGAUGAUCCAUUCAAAUUUCUGCCCUAUCAACUUUCGAUGGUACGGUAGUGGCCUACCAUGGUUGCAACGGGUGACGGAGAAUUAGGGUUCGAUUCCGGAGAGGGAGCCUGAGAAACGGCUACCACAUCCAAGGAAGGCAGCAGGCGCGCAAAUUACCCAAUCCCGACUCGGGGAGGUAGUGACAAUAAAUAACAAUGCCGGGCUAUCGUAGUCUGGCAAUUGGAAUGAGCACAACGUAAAUCCCUUAACGAGGAACAAUUGGAGGGCAAGUCUGGUGCCAGCAGCCGCGGUAAUUCCAGCUCCAAUAGCGUAUAUUAAAGUUGUUGCAGUUAAAAAGCUCGUAGUUGGAUUUCGGGGCAGUCCGUCUGGUCCGCCGCGAGGCGAGCACUGGUCGGGCGCCCUUCCUCUCGGAGGCCCCGACUGCUCUUGGUUGCAGUGGUCGGGGAGUUCGGGACGUUUACUUUGAAAAAAUUAGAGUGUUCAAGGCAGGCCGUCGCCUGAAUACAUUAGCAUGGAAUAAUGGAAGAGGACCUCGGUCCUAUUUUGUUGGUUUCCAGGGCCGAAGUAAUGAUUGAGAGGGACAGUUGGGGGCAUUCGUAUUUAAUUGUCAGAGGUGAAAUUCUCGGAUUUAUGAAAGACGAACAACUGCGAAAGCAUUUGCCAAGGAUGUUUUCAUUAAUCAAGAACGAAAGUUGGGGGUUCGA